GACGAACGCUGGCGGCGUGCUUAACACAUGCAAGUCGAACGGAAAGGCCCUGCUUUUGUGGGGUGCUCGAGUGGCGAACGGGUGAGUAACACGCGAGUAACCUGCCCUUGACUUUGGGAUAACUUCAGGAAACUGGGGCUAAUACCGGAUAGGAGCUCCUGCUGCAUGGUGGGGGUUGGAAAGUUUCGGCGGUUGGGGAUGGACUCGCGGCUUAUCAGCUUGUUGGUGGGGUAGUGGCUUACCAAGGCUUUGACGGGUAGCCGGCCUGAGAGGGUGACCGGCCACAUUGGGACUGAGAGACGGACCAGACUCCUACGGGAGGCAGCAGUGGGGAAUAUUGCACAAUGGGCGGAAGCCUGAUGCAGCAACGCCGCGUGCGGGAUGACGGCCUUCGGGUUGUAAACCGCUUUCGCCUGUGACGAAGCGUGAGUGACGGUAAUGGGUAAAGAAGCACCGGCUAACUACGUG
RNAcentral lists this ribosomal RNA (468 nucleotides) under uncultured bacterium. Its description in RNAcentral is "partial 16S ribosomal RNA". It matches the Rfam family "Bacterial small subunit ribosomal RNA", at positions 28 to 507 of the family's 1533-position model. The record is from RNAcentral.